AGAAAUUUAAUUUCUGAGGACUCUUCUAUGUGCUUUUGCAUUUCACAAAUUUUGCGAUAAAAAAACCUAUACAGUCCUUGUUCGCCAACCAGAUGACGUCUUCUCUUCUGGUGUCUCCGAGAGAAUGAAUGUCAGUGUCCUGUAACGGCACAACAGAUGGAUCGAAUCGCUGCAGCUGUUUCAAUUGUGCAAAUGAUAGGCCCGCACCCAUCAUCCCUUCUCCUCCGAUCUGCGGGUUCUGUGGAGAGAAAAAGGGUCAACGUUCUUGAGCAGCAAAGAUCAUCACGUACCGCAGAAAAGAGUUUUCGCUGUAAUGGCUGGUAUGAUGUCACCUCCUUCAAAGUCCAGGUACAAGCCAUGUUGGGUCUCUGGCCCAGUCCACUGCAGGGUGCAUCAAGAAGAAUUCGGUCAAAAGAUUCUGCCUCAAGACCUGGGAGAAGGCCCCAAAACUCUUGAGUGAACUCAAGUCCACCCCUUGAAAACAGAAAUCAAUGGUGAAUAAGGAAAUAUAAGGAGAUUUCCCCUUUUCAUAUAAUAUGAGGCAUUUAAGAAAUAGAAAUAAUCUAGGAACCUGACAAGCAAUCCUGCAGCACCAACUCGAAGAACAGUUAACUUGUCACCUACAGACAGUAGAUCUCAACAAGGUCUAACGUAGUCCACAAUUCUACUUUAAAUGAACUCCAAUAAGAAAAAGCUAACGUACACAGAUGGCUUAUUGGUACAGCGAAUCUUUAGAGACCAGUGGCACAUGCUUCAUGCCUAACAAUGCUAUCGUUUUUGUUAGGUGCCACUGAGUCCGUCCCGACGUACAGUGGCCCAGUGGCCCACGGAGGGAUUCUAGCAGGCUUUCGUAUACAACAGGGGAUCGGUGAAAGAAUUCUGCAGCCUAUUAUUUCAAAGGCAAGCGAAGUGGAAGCACAGCACAAGAGACAUUAUUCAGCAACAUGGACCAUUUCUAUUAGGCAACUUGAACCAAACGGAAAGCACAGCCGGGGGCAAGGUGAGAAGAAAUAAAAGUUGACUACAGAGAGUAACUGAGAAUCCACCACACAGAAUACAGCAUAAAGGAUGAAAUGAGGGAAUGCCUGAAAAACCGCUUGGUCUUGAUAAGUCAAACAU
This is a long non-coding RNA of Echinops telfairi (small Madagascar hedgehog), 1119 nucleotides long. RefSeq lists it as uncharacterized. Lineage: Eukaryota; Metazoa; Chordata; Mammalia; Afrosoricida; Tenrecidae. The record is from RefSeq and is a predicted model, not a curated record. The transcript is spliced from 3 exons.